CUACGGGUUGCACCAGCAGGGAAUAUUGCACAAUGGACGGAAGUCUGAUGCAGCGACGCCGCGUGGAUGAUGAAGGCCCUCGGGUUGUAAAAUCCUUUUCAGGGGGACGAGGAAGGACGGUACCCUUGGAAUAAGCGUCGGCUAACUACGUGCCAGCAGCCGCGGUAAGACGUAGGACGCAAGCGUUAUCCGGAUUUACUGGGCGUAAAGCGUCUGUAGGCGGAAUGGUAAGUUGGACGUGAAAGCUCCGGGCUCAACCCGGAGAGGUCGUUCAAUACUGCCAAACUAGAGGGCAUCAGAGGGGCGUGGAAUUUCCGGUGUAGCGGUAAAAUGCGCAGAUAUCGGAAGGAACACCAAUGGCGAAGGCAGCGCUCUGGGAUGAACCUGACGCUAAGAGACGAAAGCUAGGGGAGCGAACAGGAUUAGAUACCCGAGUAGUC
RNAcentral lists this ribosomal RNA (440 nucleotides) under uncultured bacterium. RNAcentral's name for it is "partial 16S ribosomal RNA". It matches the Rfam family "Bacterial small subunit ribosomal RNA", at positions 339 to 795 of the family's 1533-position model. The record is from RNAcentral.